GGGUCAGUAGGUUGGUCGUGCCACCGGUACGUACUGGUCUCACUGAUUCCUCCUUCCUGAAGAACCGUAAUGCCAUUAAUUUGGUGUUGCGGGGAAACAGGACUGUUACUUUGAAAAAAUUAGAGUGUUUAAAGCAAGCUAACGCUUGAAUACAUUAGCAUGGAAUAAUGAAAUAGAACGAUCGACCCUAUUUUGUUGGUUUCUAGGAUUGACGUA
RNAcentral lists this ribosomal RNA (216 nucleotides) under Glomeromycotina sp. RNAcentral describes it as "partial small subunit ribosomal RNA". The stretch from base 40 to 216 matches the Rfam family "Eukaryotic small subunit ribosomal RNA", at positions 686 to 864 of the family's 1831-position model. The record is from RNAcentral. Lineage: Eukaryota; Fungi; Glomeromycota.